CCGCCUUCUAUAAUCAGAAUCUCGUGCCUACGAUAUUAUCUUUUCUUAUGCUUUUAAAACUAUGAACACCCUGAGAACCAGGAAACUGAAGUCUUAGGAGUUUCUUGCUAAGGAAGAAAAACAGAAUUGUUUCCAUGUUUGGCUGUCUAGUGCCAAUUAUUUCAUAGACUUAAAGAAUCAGACUUUCAGAGAACAUUUAAAACUUCCUCAUCCCAAUCAACAAAUUGGAUCCUCAGGGAAGCCUUGGGUUGCAUAAAGCUAAGUUGUGUAUGGCUACCAUGAUGUCAGGACAGAUACACUAGAGUAUACCCCGGCUAAAACAGUGGGGCAUGCAAGGCAUGCAGCAAAAGGUUCUUGAUGUUGCCAUGGAAAUCGGAUUCUUCCUCGUUGCUCUUGGAACUGGAGAAUGGACUGUGCCUCCUCUGUGCCAGCCACUUUGUGCCAGGAGCAGGGAUUUGACAAAGGACCCCAGAAGAGCAGCCUCAGCCCUUUAGUACCCUACCCCCACCUCUGUGGCCUGUGGUCACAGCCCUUUCCUCUUGUAUCGGCCUCCAUAGUCCCCUCCUCCACCCACCUCCUCCAGGCCCACCAUUAAUGAGACUCAGAAGGAGGGGGCAUAGAAACUUGAAAGAGUACUUCCUUUCUUAUUUAUAGGUCUCCACCGGAGGACUAGAGGCAAGGAGUGUGGUCUCUUCCCUGGAGCAAGGGGCAAAGCUCUCACAGGGGGCUGGGUCCUGGCUGGGCUCGGCCUGUGACCCCUUGUGCCUUAAUCUCCCCAGCUGUACAAUUAGGUAAAAGUUGGGCUACAAUGAAAACCAGAUGUUCCAUCAG
Long non-coding RNA from Nannospalax galili (Upper Galilee mountains blind mole rat), 831 nucleotides. RefSeq lists it as uncharacterized. The record is from RefSeq and is a predicted model, not a curated record. Lineage: Eukaryota; Metazoa; Chordata; Mammalia; Rodentia; Spalacidae. The transcript has 3 exons.